Molecule: ribosomal RNA, 404 nt
Filed under: Actinomycetes bacterium
Lineage: Bacteria; Bacillati; Actinomycetota; Actinomycetes
Description: Actinobacteria bacterium partial 16S ribosomal RNA
Rfam family: Bacterial small subunit ribosomal RNA
Source: RNAcentral
UGGGGAAUAUUGGACAAUGGGCGCAAGCCUGAUCCAGCCAUGCCGCGUGAGUGAUGAAGGCCCUAGGGUUGUAAAGCUCUUUCACCGGUGAAGAUAAUGACGGUAACCGGAGAAGAAGCCCCGGCUAACUUCGUGCCAGCAGCCGCGGUAAUACGAAGGGGGCUAGCGUUGUUCGGAUUUACUGGGCGUAAAGCGCACGUAGGCGGACUUUUAAGUCAGGGGUGAAAUCCCGGGGCUCAACCCCGGAACUGCCUUUGAUACUGGAAGUCUUGAGUAUGGUAGAGGUGAGUGGAAUUCCGAGUGUAGAGGUGAAAUUCGUAGAUAUUCGGAGGAACACCAGUGGCGAAGGCGGCUCACUGGACCGUUACUGGAGCUGAGGUGCGAAAGCGUGGGGAGCAAACAGG